UUUAUGUGUAAAGUAAAACCCCUGGUUUCAAUUCUAUGGGUAAGUGAAAUAGGCCUUUUCUGGAAACCUAUGGGUUAUCUAGUGUGUAAAUACAGUAUAAAUACUGGAGCUUAAGCUCAGGGUAUUGGGGAUCACUUUUGAGAAUUCUCAUCGGUGUGGAUCUCGUGUGGUGGAAUGGAACAAUAAAGCUGGACCCUUGCUUCUUCUCACUCACGGCUGGUGUGUUUUUUCUAUCUCCAACUGGGCUCAGAGGUAGAUGUGAGUAUUGGCUUCUAAGUUGAGUUUUAAAAGUUUUUGGGUAAUAGGCUAAAUUCGAGCCAACAUUUGGCACCCCAGAUGGGACUGGGCUAAGAUCUAUAUGUCUGGAAUCUCUCCCGUGGGACUUCGCUCUCUAAGCAACAGACAGGCCGUAUAGGAAAAGGCAUUGCAGACGCCUGUUAUUUCAAAGCUCUGUUUUAGUGGUCUGUUGUUACGAUGGAGAAGCCCCGGGGUGGGAAGAAAGACUAAGUGGGUCUCCAAAAGAACCUGGAGUGAGUGAGAAGAGGUAAGAGAAGUAUAGAUUGUAGAAUGUACUUUUUAUAAUUAUAAUAAAGAAAUGGUAUAUGUGUUGUGUGAGUGAAAGUCCUGCAAUACCGCUGGAGGAAGGGAAAAAAGGUAGAAAAAAGAGAAAUAGAGAAAUACUCCAGGGCUGGGAUAGAAAGCAGGUGGAAAAUGAGGCCUCAGACCCCAGAUACCGGCUACUAGACUAGACUAGCAGUCUAGUGGCGGCUGCAUUGGUGGGGACCCCUAAUACCGCUGGAAAAGGAUUAGAUAAAAGAUAGAUAGAUUAGAUUCCAGGGCUGGAUAGAGAGGGGAAUAAAUCCUGGGCCUAGGUCCGGGUCGUGCAAUACAGCAUGCCCGGUGUAUGAAUGGAAUAUGUACUAACAAAUGUGUGUGCUUAAAAUAUAUGUGCUUAUAAUAUGUAUAAUAUGAGUGUGGUGUGAGAGCGUGUAAGUUUUGGAGACAGGGAAAAUGUAUUUAUUAGUGCUCUGAACAUGAGCUCCAUACCUAAAGUAUUGGAUAAGUGGGAUAAGAUUCAGAGAAAAUAAUUUUUUUUGGAGAAAGUUGGAUUUAAUUUGUAUGACUGUAAGCUUCAUGCAUACGGAGCUGGUUUGGAGGUGCUUUAUACUUUGAAAACUUCAUGUAGUAAAAUAAGUGUAAUAAUGUGGAAUACAAUGUGUGUAUGUGAGCUUGCCUGCGUUGUUGAUAGAAAGGGGGGGUGUAUGUGUGUGUGUUCCUGUCCGUUCUUAUCUGUGCGUCUGUGUGGAAGGACAAGGGGGAAAAAAAAAAAAAAAAAAGGGGAAAAAGGUAAGACAAUUCGGUGUGUGUGAAUUCUUCAGAGUGGACUGGGUAAUGCGGAGCAUUGUGAGAUAUCUUGCGGACUUUGAAUAUUUCGAAUCCGGUACAUACGUUCGGUGAGUCGCUAGACUGUGUGUGUGUUAUAAUUAAUUUAAUAUCCAUAACUGCUGUAUAAGUGUAAAAAAAAAAAUAAAAAAUAAAAAAAAUAAUAAUAAUAUUAAUAUGUAAGUGUAUAUAUAUAUAAAUAUAUGCAUAUUUUAGAGCAUGCACGCCAAUGGUACAUAUUUUAGACAUCUGUACGACUGCCCAUUGGGUAAAUAGGAAUUACUAGACCUGUAAUAUAUAACAACAUAUUCCCAGAUUGUGUGAUCCAGGAACAGGAAAACUGAAGGUGGGAGAAAAGUGUAUAUUGUCGGGCCAUUAUUGAGAAAUGAGUGAGUUAGUCCAUUUGGACCCUUUAUUUUUAUGCUAUAAAUUACGAAUGUGAUGUCUAGGUAAAAGCCCCAAAAAUGAGAAUAAUAAUAUAUUGUUUUUGCGGAAGCUGCCACAGGGCCUAGACGGGGGAGGUUCCUAACUCAGGACGGAGAAAGUAGGCGGCUGCGGCAUCCACAGGGACACAAUGGAGCCCGCGUGAAAGAGAUACAAAACGAUGCAGGACCUAUAUAACGGUGGGGGAG
Molecule: long non-coding RNA, 2015 nt
Organism: Ictalurus punctatus (channel catfish)
Lineage: Eukaryota; Metazoa; Chordata; Actinopteri; Siluriformes; Ictaluridae
Source: Ensembl